GACGAACGCUGGCGGCGUGCUUAACACAUGCAAGUCGAACGGAAAGGCCCUGCUUUUGUGGGGUGCUCGAGUGGCGAACGGGUGAGUAACACGUGAGUAACCUGCCCUUGACUUUGGGAUAACUUCAGGAAACUGGGGCUAAUACCGGAUAGGAGCUCCUGCUGCAUGGUGGGGGUUGGAAAGUUUCGGCGGUUGGGGAUGGACUCGCGGCUUAUCAGCUUGUUGGUGGGGUAGUGGCUUACCAAGGCUUUGACGGGUAGCCGGCCUGAGCGGGUGACCGGCCACAGUGGGACUGAGAUACGGCCCAGACUCCUACGGGAGGCAGCAGUGGGGAAUAUUGCACAAUGGGCGGAAGCCUGAUGCAGCAACGCCGCGUGCGGGAUGACGGCCUUCGGGUUGUAAACCGCUUUCGCCUGUGACGAAGCGUGAGUGACGGUAAUGGGUAAAGAAGCACCGGCUAACUACGUG
RNAcentral lists this ribosomal RNA (468 nucleotides) under uncultured bacterium. RNAcentral describes it as "partial 16S ribosomal RNA". It matches the Rfam family "Bacterial small subunit ribosomal RNA", at positions 28 to 507 of the family's 1533-position model. The record is from RNAcentral.